This 539-nucleotide ribosomal RNA is filed under the name uncultured bacterium. Its description in RNAcentral is "bacterial SSU rRNA". It matches the Rfam family "Bacterial small subunit ribosomal RNA", at positions 355 to 895 of the family's 1533-position model. The record is from RNAcentral.
UGAGGAAUAUUGGUCAAUGGACGAAAGUCUGAACCAGCCAAGUAGCGUGCAGGAUGACGGCCCUCUGGGUUGUAAACUGCUUUUAGUUGGGAAUAAAAAAGAGGACGUGUCCUCUAUUGUAUGUACCUUCAGAAAAAGGACCGGCUAAUUCCGUGCCAGCAGCCGCGGUAAUACGGAAGGUCCAGGCGUUAUCCGGAUUUAUUGGGUUUAAAGGGAGCGUAGGCGGAUUAUUAAGUCAGUGGUGAAAGACGGUGGCUCAACCAUCGUUAGCCAUUGAAACUGGUAGUCUUGAGUGCAGACAGGGAUGCUGGAACUCGUGGUGUAGCGGUGAAAUGCUUAGAUAUCACGAUGAACUCCGAUCGCGAAGGCAGGUGUCCGGGCUGCAACUGACGCUGAGGCUCGAAAGUGUGGGUAUCAAACAGGAUUAGAUACCCUGGUAGUCCACACAGUAAACGAUGUAUACUCGCGGUUUGCGAUAGAAUGUAAGCCGCCNAGCGAAAGCAUUAAGUAUACCACCUGGGGAGUACGCCGGCNACGGU